RNAcentral lists this ribosomal RNA (151 nucleotides) under uncultured crenarchaeote. Its description in RNAcentral is "partial 16S ribosomal RNA". It matches the Rfam family "Archaeal small subunit ribosomal RNA", at positions 321 to 473 of the family's 1478-position model. Lineage: Archaea; Thermoproteati; Thermoproteota. The record is from RNAcentral.
CCCUACGGGGUGCAGCAGGCGCGAAACCUCUGCAAUAGGCGAAAGCUUGACAGGGUUACUCUGAGUGAUGCCCGCUAAGGGCAUCUUUUGGCACCUCUAAAAAUGGUGCAGAAUAAGGGGUGGGCAAGUCUGGUGUCAGCAGCCGCGGUAA